UGCCUAAUACAUGCAAGUCGAGCGGACAGAUGGGAGCUUGCUCCCUGAUGUUAGCGGCGGACGGGUGAGUAACACGUGGGUAACCUGCCUGUAAGACUGGGAUAACUCCGGGAAACCGGGGCUAAUACCGGAUGCUUGUUUGAACCGCAUGGUUCAGACAUAAAAGGUGGCUUCGGCUACCACUUACAGAUGGACCCGCGGCGCAUUAGCUAGUUGGUGAGGUAACGGCUCACCAAGGCGACGAUGCGUAGCCGACCUGAGAGGGUGAUCGGCCACACUGGGACUGAGACACGGCCCAGACUCCUACGGGAGGCAGCAGUAGGGAAUCUUCCGCAAUGGACGAAAGUCUGACGGAGCAACGCCGCGUGAGUGAUGAAGGUUUUCGGAUCGUAAAGCUCUGUUGUUAGGGAAGAACAAGUGCCGUUCAAAUAGGGCGGCACCUUGACGGUACCUAACCAGAAAGCCACGGCUAACUACGUGCCAGCAGCCGCGGUAAUACGUAGGUGGCAAGCGUUGUCCGGAAUUAUUGGGCGUAAAGGGCUCGCAGGCGGUUUCUUAAGUCUGAUGUGAAAGCCCCCGGCUCAACCGGGGAGGGUCAUUGGAAACUGGGGAACUUGAGUGCAGAAGAGGAGAGUGGAAUUCCACGUGUAGCGGUGAAAUGCGUAGAGAUGUGGAGGAACACCAGUGGCGAAGGCGACUCUCUGGUCUGUAACUGACGCUGAGGAGCGAAAGCGUGGGGAGCGAACAGGAUUAGAUACCCUGGUAGUCCACGCCGUAAACGAUGAGUGCUAAGUGUUAGGGGGUUUCCGCCCCUUAGUGCUGCAGCUAACGCAUUAAGCACUCCGCCUGGGGAGUACGGUCGCAAGACUGAAACUCAAAGGAAUUGACGGGGGCCCGCACAAGCGGUGGAGCAUGUGGUU
Molecule: ribosomal RNA, 920 nt
Filed under: Bacillus amyloliquefaciens
Lineage: Bacteria; Bacillati; Bacillota; Bacilli; Caryophanales; Bacillaceae
Description: bacterial SSU rRNA
Rfam family: Bacterial small subunit ribosomal RNA
Source: RNAcentral